AUCACUCUCGGCCUUUUGGCUAAGAUGAAGUGUAGUAUCUGUUCUUACCAGUUUAAUAUCUGAUACAUCCUCUAUCCGAGGACAAAGUGAAUUAAAAAAAGGGGGAAUUCUUUUUUGUUUUGAUUUUGGAAGAACAGAAAGUUUUCUGUGUUUUGUUUCCUGAUCUCUUGAGUGCCUAGAAAAAUGCCA
Oryctolagus cuniculus (rabbit) is the source of this 189-nucleotide small nuclear RNA. Its record names the gene U2. It matches the Rfam family "U2 spliceosomal RNA". Rfam says of the family: U2 is a small nuclear RNA (snRNA) component of the spliceosome (involved in pre-mRNA splicing). Complementary binding between U2 snRNA (in an area lying towards the 5' end but 3' to hairpin I) and the branchpoint sequence (BPS) of the intron results the bulging out of an unpaired adenosine, on the BPS, which initiates a nucleophilic attack at the intronic 5' splice site, thus starting the first of two transesterification reactions that mediate splicing. Lineage: Eukaryota; Metazoa; Chordata; Mammalia; Lagomorpha; Leporidae. The record is from Ensembl.